UAGGGUUCUGAUUCUGAACUUUGCUCCCUAAAAUCUCUAGAACCAUCACUUCCGCUCCACCAUCACCAAUCGAAUCAUCCUCUACUCCACCUCAUUGUCGAUGAUCCAAAACCCUAAUCGCUCCCAAAAAUGGAAACCGUUGGACUUCAGCAAUGAGCAAAUGAUUUCUUAGGGUUCGGUUUGUUGGGAACUAUGACUAACGGUCUUGUUAUUCUUAAUCGAAGAUUACAGGUCAAGGAUGAAAUAGUAGGUUACAAGUAGUAGAAGCAAGGAUACAAGUUUGAUUUUCAAAGGAUUUCACCACCAACAGCAACAUGGAUUUUGAUACCAGAAGUUGAGCACAGAGCAAAGCUAGAUUCAACACCAUUUGCAUCAUGAGUUAGACUAUCAGCUACUAUGGUUACUAUGAUUGAAAAGUUUGAACUUAGUUAUCAAGGAGCUCAUUAAAGAAAAGGAUGAAGAAAAAGAAAAAGAAAAAGAAAGGCUAAAUGGAAUUAUUGCAGGGUGGUUGGUUGGUUGGCUGAAAAAAAAAAGAUAAGGUGGAUAAAGAUGCUAUACUCGAUACGAUGUCACAAAUUGAAGCUGUGUUAACAAGUACAGUUUGAAGAUAGGCUACAAACACUUGGUUUUGAAUGUUUCGAUGUUUAUCGUAUUAGGAUUUUUUUAGUUAUUUCAUGUUUUAGCUGGUAUUUCUAUUAGAAUGUUUUGUAUGCUUUUGAUACAUAGAUGUUUUAUAUAAUUUUGGGUUUUCGU
This 753-nucleotide long non-coding RNA is filed under the name Helianthus annuus (common sunflower). RNAcentral describes it as "hypothetical non coding rna". The record is from RNAcentral. Lineage: Eukaryota; Viridiplantae; Streptophyta; Magnoliopsida; Asterales; Asteraceae.